This 759-nucleotide ribosomal RNA is filed under the name Triticum aestivum (bread wheat). RNAcentral's name for it is "partial small subunit ribosomal RNA". The record is from RNAcentral. Lineage: Eukaryota; Viridiplantae; Streptophyta; Magnoliopsida; Poales; Poaceae.
AUGGCGGCCUUUCGAGAUGUGCUCAUGACGUGUGAAUUGGUGGAUAUGGGCUUCAUUGGAGUGCCUUACACUUAUGAUAAUAUGCGAGCAGCGGCUGCUAAUGUACGUGUGCGCCUGGAUCGUGCAGUUGCUACCAAUGAAUGGAGGAAUUUAUUUGCUUUCUCUUCGGUACAUCACUUGGCGUCUCCUUGUUCGGAUCAUGUGCCUCUUCUCCUGAAACUUUCUGCUGAACAGGAGAACCCACGAGCAAAGGCAAGGAGAUAUGAGUUUUUUUGGGAACGAGAUGCAGGGCUCCCGGACUUUAUAAGGAAUACAUGGGAUGCCUUUGGCACUAUGGAAAAUCUGGGGAAAGUAAAUGAGGCACUAAGAUCUACCAUGACAGCACUCAAAACAUGGAGUAACCGGAGGUUUGGUAAUGUCACUAGGGAGAUUAAUAAAUCACGCUCUCAAUUAGAAGAGCUGAUGAGGAUGAAUGCUGACACACAGGAGAUACGGAGAGUAUCUGACAAACUCAAUGAACUGCUAUAUAAAGAAGAAAUGUUAUGGCUACAGCGCUCGCGGAUAAUGUGGCUCAAGGAAGGAGAUAGGAACACAAAGUUUUUCCAGAGCAAGUCAGUAUGGAGAGCAAGGAAAAAUAAAAUUAGAGAGCUGCAUGAUGAUAAUGGUACUAUUUUUAAAGAUGAAGAUGUUAUGGGUAACUUCCUCCUGACGACCCCUCAAAAAAAAAAACUUCCUCCUGACGAAAAGUCUGUUUCUUGA